GAUGAACGCUGGCGGCGUGCUUAACACAUGCAAGUCGAACGAGAAGUGAAGACGGAAACCUUCGGGCGGAAGGCUUUAUUUCGAGUGGCGGACGGGUGAGUCACGCGUGGGUAACCUGCCUCAUACAGGGGGCUAACAGUUGGAAACGACUGUUAAUACCGCAUCAGACCACAGCACCGCAUGGUGCGGGGGUAAAAACUCCGGUGGUAUGAGAUGGACCCGCGUUCGAUUAGCCAGGCGGCGGGGUAACGGCCCACCAACGCGACGAUCGAUAGCCGAGCUGAGAGGAUGACCGGCCACAUUGGGACUGAGACACGGCCCAAACUCCUACGGGAGGGAGCAGUGGGGAAUAUUGCACAAUGGGGGAAACCCUGAUGCAGCGACGCCGCGUGAGUGAAGAAGUAUUUCGGUAUGUAAAGCUCUAUCAGCAGGGAAGAAAGUGACGGUACCUGAGUAAGAAGCCCCGGCUAACUACGUG
This 478-nucleotide ribosomal RNA is filed under the name uncultured bacterium. RNAcentral's name for it is "partial 16S ribosomal RNA". It matches the Rfam family "Bacterial small subunit ribosomal RNA", at positions 28 to 507 of the family's 1533-position model. The record is from RNAcentral.